Molecule: non-coding RNA, 366 nt
Organism: Vicia faba (fava bean)
Lineage: Eukaryota; Viridiplantae; Streptophyta; Magnoliopsida; Fabales; Fabaceae
Source: the annotation of a GenBank genome assembly
AUCACUAAUGAUAUAAAGAAAGAAAAAAAAAAGCAAAAUGGCACUUCACAUACCGCUUAUAAAGAAACUCAUUCAAUAAAGAUCAUAGGAUCCAUUAUGUACCAACAACGAUUAAAAUUUCAUCAAAAAUUGUUCAAAGUAGCGUGGGGGGCAUUUAUUGCUAACAAAAUGUUAUCUAUUACGAGAAAGACAUUGAAUGUGAUUAUCUCUGAUGAUAGCGACAUCCCAUCAAAUCUAGCGGUCAAGUUAGAGCACAUUUGGCAAACUCUUGACCUGCAAAGUAGAGACAAGAGCUUAAGAGCAACUAUUAUGAACUAUCCGCAAUUGUACCUUUUCUUUCUUGGAAUAAAUGAUCCCAUCCACUAG